GAAGACACUAGGAACCCAACAAAUAAAUAAAUAAAUAAAAUAAGUGAUGUUUAAGUAAAAUUAUGAAACAUAGUAGAUAUUCUUGUCCAUCAGAAGAUGGUAACUAGCUGGGUGCCAUAGUAUAUGCCUGUAAUCCUGGGAACUCAGGAUCACAAGUUCAAGGCUAGCCUGGGCAUCUUAGCAAGAGAGUGCUCAAAAUAAAAUAAAUGAAUAAAUAAAAAGGGCAGAAUGGAGCUCAGUAGUAGAGCAGUCCCUGGGUUCAACCCCCAGUACUGGAAUAAAAGCUAACUGCCACAUGGGUAAACUGUAGAUCCAAGGAAGAGUGUCUGAGGGUUCUUGGGUGAAGGCCUGCUUUGCAAUUUUGAAAAGGUAGUUAAGGGCUGGUGAUGUCACUCAAGGGUAGAGCACUUGCCUAGCAUGAGGAGGGCUCUGGGUUUGAUCCCCAGUAUGGGAAAAAAAAAAAAAGGUAAAAUAGUCUGUUAAAUGGGACAUUUAAAUAGAAACUUGAAGUCACAAGGGCAGAGCCAUCUGCAUUGUGUCUCGUGUUCACAAAUGCACAAGGAGGUUGGUGAGGCUGGAGCGCAGUGUGUGAGGUCAGCACAGGUGUGGGGAAGGGGGGAAA
This 622-nucleotide long non-coding RNA is filed under the name Marmota monax (woodchuck). Lineage: Eukaryota; Metazoa; Chordata; Mammalia; Rodentia; Sciuridae. The record is from RNAcentral.